Molecule: long non-coding RNA, 725 nt
Filed under: Homo sapiens (human)
Lineage: Eukaryota; Metazoa; Chordata; Mammalia; Primates; Hominidae
Description: HSALNT0353346
Source: RNAcentral
UCCCUUAUAGGGCCAUAGGAAGCCAUGGCAUGUUUCAACAAGGAGAAAGAAAUAUCUAAUCUGCGUUUUAGAAAGAUGAUCAUUUGUGGUGAAAGGUGAACCUUGUGAACACAUUUAAUGGAAUAAAACAUUUUGUGAGAGCUGUAGGCAGUUGUGAUUGCUCGAGUGCCUCUUCUGCAUCAUGGAACCAGGAUUGAAGAGAAGAGCUCAGCCCCAAAGGAGAGGAACAGAAUUGCUUCUGGAAGCACCAUGAGAGCUUCCACUCUCCGUGAGAAAAGAAUAGCAGAGGAGGAAACGGUGGCCCUGGAAAGAGCUUGCUGUCUGAGAGGCAAAGGAGGCUGGCGGACACAGAGCUAAGAAAGAUUCCAGCCACACGUGAGCGCCUGGAGAAUCCAACCGUGUGGAUUUCCUGAUGGCCAAGUGAAGUACAUCUUUGUCUUUUGAAACAGUCCAGUUUUACAGGAAAGAAUUAAAAAAUGAGGAUCAUAUUAGCACUACACUAAUUAUGAACUGGAAUGUGUCAGCCAAGAAUGAAUUACAAGCUGGCCAGAGCCUGCAAACUCUAGCUGGAUAAAGUUCAGACAUGCAGCUGUGAGCCCUCCUGGAAGCUGGCCACCAUUUAUUACGGUGGCGCCUGGCAACAGGCUCGUCGUUAAGGGUCUGUCAGCCUUUCCAUUAGAAGCUCCAUCUUUUCAGGAUUCUCCAGCUCUCCCCUUUUAAAUCAC